This is a long non-coding RNA of Malaclemys terrapin pileata, 1020 nucleotides long. RefSeq lists it as uncharacterized. The transcript is spliced from 2 exons. The record is from RefSeq and is a predicted model, not a curated record. Lineage: Eukaryota; Metazoa; Chordata; Testudines; Emydidae.
GUCUGGCUGCCUCCACUAAUAACUGCGGCUCCAUCGGAGGAGAGGAAAUGGAAGCCACCCUCAGACUCAGGAACCAGCCGCAAAAAAAAGUUAAAAGUAACGGAAUACUCCUCUUGGACCUGCUACAGUCUCGUGAAAAUACCGCUGAACUCAGAAUACUACAAGGGUUUUUUGGUUCUGAAAUAAUUCUGCUUGGGUCUUGAUAACACCCAGCAGAUCCUGAGGGAGAAGAGAUGAUACCACUGACGCAGAUCAUCCGCAGGUGAUUCAGCCUGAAGAGUAUCAUAAAGGCUGUGCUCCCACUUCUAGGGAAUCCUCAUCACCUUAGUACCUCACCAUCUUAAAAAGACUGUAUUUAUCCUUACAACCCCGCUGAGAGGAAGGGAGGUAUCACUCCCAUUUACAUUUGGAGAACUGAGAGACUAGGCAACUUGACCAAGGUCGUCAUGCACAGGAAGCCCCUGGCAGAGUAGAAAAUUGAACAUAGGUCUCUUGAGUCUUAAGCACCCUAACCACUGGAUCCAGGGCUGCCUGGGGGGGGACAAAUGGGGCAGUUUGCCCCGGACCCCACAGGGGACCCCACGAGAAUAUACUAUUCUAUAGUAUUGCAACUUUUUUUUAUGGAAGGGGCCCCUGAAAUUGCUUUGCCCCAGGCCCCCUGAAUCCUCUGGGCAGCCCUGACUGGAUCAUCCUUCCUUUCUAUCUGCCAUCUGUUUUGCAACUGUAGUAUUGAAGUAAUGAUAUUUCCUUUAACGUUUUUUGAGAUCUAUAGAUGAACAGCACCAUAAAAGUGCUAAGUUUUAUUAUUUUAUUCUACUGUUAGUUAAAAGUGAUUUUAAGUUCAAGAAUAUUCUUAAAUCCCUACUUCUGCAUUUGAAUAAUGAGUAAAACUGCUUUUCUGUUGUUUAUAUGACACAAUCCAUGAACAGUCAGGUUUGGUUUUGAAGUGUAAUGAACUGUACUGACUGAUUUCUUGCUGUCUAACUGGGAGUCAUAAAAUAAAUUCUAAUUUACUUAAUA